Mastomys coucha (southern multimammate mouse) is the source of this 147-nucleotide small nucleolar RNA. RefSeq annotates it as small nucleolar RNA SNORA48. The record is from RefSeq and is a predicted model, not a curated record. NCBI's taxonomy places the organism in Eukaryota, Metazoa, Chordata, Mammalia, Rodentia, Muridae. The transcript has a single exon.
CGCCCUGGCAAUGGGCAAAGAGACCACCUUGUUGUAGGUGGUGGUGUUUUUAUAUCAAUCAGGGGCAGAGCAGAUGGCAGACCUUUGUUCAACUCAGCUUGAUGCCUGGCUUGGUGGGCAAAGCUGUCUUAUGUCAAGGACACCUCA